UACGUAGGGGGCAAGCGUUGUCCGGAUUUACUGGGCGUAAAGGGCGUGCAGGCGGUUUGUUAAGUGCAGGGUGAAAGCUCCCGGCUCAACUGGGAGAGGUCCUUGCAUACUGGCAAACUCGAGGGAGGCAGAGGAAAGUGGAAUUCCCGGUGUAGUGGUGAUAUGCGUAGAUAUCGGGAGGAACACCAGUGGCGAAGGCGACUACCUGGCCUGUUUCUUGACGCUGAGGCGCGAAAGCUAGGGGAGCAAACGGG
Molecule: ribosomal RNA, 254 nt
Filed under: uncultured bacterium
Lineage: Bacteria
Description: partial 16S ribosomal RNA
Rfam family: Bacterial small subunit ribosomal RNA
Source: RNAcentral